RNAcentral lists this long non-coding RNA (279 nucleotides) under Musa acuminata (dwarf banana). RNAcentral's name for it is "long non-coding RNA (MACU_LNC010375)". The record is from RNAcentral. Lineage: Eukaryota; Viridiplantae; Streptophyta; Magnoliopsida; Zingiberales; Musaceae.
ACACCCUAUCCUUUAUUUAUUCCUUUUUAACUUUUUUCCCUUCUCCCUUCCCUUCUUAUUCUUUUCUUUUCCUUCUCCCCUCUUCCUCCUCCAAUUUUUUCUUUUCUUUUCUUUUCUAUCCGCAGCGUAUCAAUCCUCCCUUCUUCCUUUCCUCUUCUUUUUCUCUUCCUUCCCUAUUUCUUUCUUUCUCCUCUUUCUCCCUCUCGCUUCUCUUUCUCUGUUCCUUCUCUCUCCCACACGCUCCCACGCAGCCUCUCUUGUCCUCGUGAGAGAGGGGGC